This 400-nucleotide ribosomal RNA is filed under the name uncultured bacterium. RNAcentral describes it as "bacterial SSU rRNA". It matches the Rfam family "Bacterial small subunit ribosomal RNA", at positions 358 to 773 of the family's 1533-position model. The record is from RNAcentral.
GGAAUUUUGCGCAAUGGGGGAAACCCUGACGCAGCGACGCCGCGUGCGGGAUGACGGCCCUCGGGUUGUAAACCACUGUCGGGGGGGACGAAGCUCUCACGGUACCCCCAAAGGAAGCACCGGCUAACUCCGUGCCAGCAGCCGCGGUAAUACGGAGGGUGCAAGCGUUGUCCGGAAGCACUGGGCGUAAAGGGCGCGUAGGCGGCGCGGUAAGUAGGGGGUGAAAUCCUGCGGCUCAACCGCAGAAUGGCCUCCUAAACUGCCGUGCUCGAGCACAGUAGAGGCAGGUGGAAUUCCCGGUGUAGCGGUGGAAUGCGUAGAGAUCGGGAAGAACACCAGUGGCGAAGGCGGCCUGCUGGGCUGUUGCUGACGCUGAGGCGCGACAGCGUGGGGAGCAAAC